UCAUCUGAAAUCUAAAUUAACCAGACAGUUCAGACUGAGUUUCAUAAUAAUGGUUGAAACACCGAAUGAUGUUUUCAAGGCUGGCUUCAAAAUUAAAGGGCAAUGGAGACAAAACCUGUCGUGGAGACUCGAAACGGUUCAAGGCAAUUCUUCAAUUGUCUUUUAAUAAUGUCCAUGGCCUGUUCCUUGGCACAGAAAUCGGAAAGCAAUGAUGAAGGUCCUUCUGCUAGUGGAUGGUUUCUUGGGCUGAACAUUUUUUUUUUUCACUGUCGAGCAGGUUGUAAGACGCGGCUUCUACAUGGUUGAGGAUACAGUGGGAGACAAAGUACAAAAAGUUACUGCAGGUUACGUUGCUUGGAGAUGGGUU
Long non-coding RNA from Populus euphratica (Euphrates poplar), 367 nucleotides. RefSeq lists it as uncharacterized. The record is from RefSeq and is a predicted model, not a curated record. Lineage: Eukaryota; Viridiplantae; Streptophyta; Magnoliopsida; Malpighiales; Salicaceae. The transcript is spliced from 3 exons.